Xenia sp. Carnegie-2017 is the source of this 116-nucleotide long non-coding RNA. RefSeq lists it as uncharacterized. NCBI's taxonomy places the organism in Eukaryota, Metazoa, Cnidaria, Anthozoa, Malacalcyonacea, Xeniidae. The record is from RefSeq and is a predicted model, not a curated record. The transcript has 2 exons.
GGAGGAGCUCGUUAUAAUGCAUUGGCGUGACUAUCUACAAGAGUGCGAAGCAAACUGCUUUGCCAAUGUUUCAGAGCCUCUUGUAUCUUUGCCGAUGAUUAUGAUUUUUGCAACUG